This 465-nucleotide ribosomal RNA is filed under the name uncultured bacterium. RNAcentral describes it as "partial 16S ribosomal RNA". It matches the Rfam family "Bacterial small subunit ribosomal RNA", at positions 28 to 507 of the family's 1533-position model. The record is from RNAcentral.
GACGAACGCUGGCGGCGUGCUUAACACAUGCAAGUCGAACGGAAAGGCCCUGCUUGCAGGGUACUCGAGUGGCGAACGGGUGAGUAACACGUGGGUGAUCUGCCCUGCACUUCGGGAUAAGCCUGGGAAACUGGGUCUAAUACCGGAUAGGAGCCAUUUUUCGUGUGAUGGUUGGAAAGUUUUUUCGGUGUAGGGGGAGCUCGCGGCCUAUCAGCUUGUUGGUGGGGUAAUGGCCUACCAAGGCGGCGACGGGUAGGCGGCCUGAGAGGGUGGACGGCCACAUUGGGACUGAGAUUCGGCCCAGACUCCUACGGGAGGCAGCAGUUGGGAAUAAUGCACAAUGGGCGCGAGCCUGAUUCAGCGACGGCGAGUGGGGGAUGACGGCCUUCGGGUUGUAAACUCCUUUCGCUAGGGACGAAGCUGUUAGUGACGGUACCUGGAUAAGAAGCACCGGCUAACUACGUG